UGCAAGUCGAACGGCAGCACAGUGGUAGCAAUACCAUGGGUGGCGAGUGGCGGACGGGUGAGGAAUACAUCGGAAUCUACUUUUUCGUGGGGGAUAACGUAGGGAAACUUACGCUAAUACCGCAUACGACCUCCGGGUGAAAGCAGGGGACCUUCGGGCCUUGCGCGAUUAAAUGAGCCGAUGUCGGAUUAGCUAGUUGGCGGGGUAAAGGCCCACCAAGGCGACGAUCCGUAGCUGGUCUGAGAGGAUGAUCAGCCACACUGGAACUGAGACACGGUCCAGACUCCUACGGGAGGCAGCAGUGGGGAAUAUUGGACAAUGGGCGCAAGCCUGAUCCAGCCAUGCCGCGUGGGUGAAGAAGGCCUUCGGGUUGUAAAGCCCUUUUGUUGGGAAAGAAAAGCAGUCGGCCAAUACCCGAUUGUUCUGACGGUACCCAAAGAAUAAGCACCGGCUAACUUCGUGCCAGCAGCCGCGGUAAUACGAAGGGUGCAAGCGUUACUCGGAAUUACUGGGCGUAAAGCGUGCGUAGGUGGUGGUUUAAGUCCGUUGUGAAAGCCCUGGGCUCAACCUGGGAAUUGCAGUGGAUACUGGGUCACUAGA
Molecule: ribosomal RNA, 600 nt
Filed under: Xanthomonas sp. RP-B14
Lineage: Bacteria; Pseudomonadati; Pseudomonadota; Gammaproteobacteria; Lysobacterales; Lysobacteraceae
Description: bacterial SSU rRNA
Rfam family: Bacterial small subunit ribosomal RNA
Source: RNAcentral